Molecule: unclassified non-coding RNA, 309 nt
Filed under: plant metagenome
Description: partial contains 5.8S ribosomal RNA, internal transcribed spacer 2, and large subunit ribosomal RNA
Rfam family: 5.8S ribosomal RNA (bases 1-105)
Source: RNAcentral
GAAAUGCGAUAAGUAGUGUGAAUUGCAGAAUUCAGUGAAUCAUCGAAUCUUUGAACGCACAUUGCGCCCCUUGGUAUUCCAUGGGACAUGCCUGUUCGAGCGUCAUUUGUACCAUCAAGCUCUGCUUGGUGUUGGGUGUUUGUCCCGUCUCCGCGCGUGGACUCGCCCCAAAGUGAUUGGCAGCCGGCGUACUGGUCCCGGAGCGCAGCACAUGUCGCGCAAACGAGUGCCUUGGUACGGCGGCGUCCAUAAGCCCCUCUCUCACGCUCUUGACCUCGGAUCAGGUAGGGAUACCCGCUGAACUUAAGC